RNAcentral lists this ribosomal RNA (493 nucleotides) under uncultured bacterium. RNAcentral describes it as "bacterial SSU rRNA". It matches the Rfam family "Bacterial small subunit ribosomal RNA", at positions 28 to 524 of the family's 1533-position model. The record is from RNAcentral.
GAUGAACGCUGGCGGCGUGCUUAACACAUGCAAGUCGAACGGAGAAAGGGUAGCUUGCUAUCUUUUCUUAGUGGCGGACGGGUGAGUAACGCGUGGGUAACCUGCCCUUUGCAGGGGGAUAACAGUGAGAAAUCACUGCUAAUACCGCAUACCAACUUCUUUCGCAUGAAAGAAGUUUGAAAGAUUUAUCGGCAAAGGAUGGACCCGCGUUGGAUUAGCUAGUUGGUGAGAUAACAGCCCACCAAGGCAACGAUCCAUAGCCGGCCUGAGAGGGUGAACGGCCACACUGGGACUGAGACACGGCCCAGACUCCUACGGGAGGCAGCAGUGGGGAAUAUUGCACAAUGGGCGAAAGCCUGAUGCAGCGACGCCACGUGAAGGAUGAAGGUCUUCGGAUUGUAAACUUCUAUCAGCAGGGAAGAAAGGGCUUAUAGCCUAUGACGGUACCUGACUAAGAAGCCCCGGCUAACUACGUGCCAGCAGCCGCGGUAAU